GUAGGCGGCAAGCGUUGUCCGGAAUUAUUGGGCGUAAAGCGCGCGCAGGUGGGUUCUUUAAGUCUGAUGUGAAAGCCCCCGGGCUCAACCGGGGAGGGUCAUUGGAAACUGGGGAACUUGAGUGCAGGAGAGGAAAGUGGAAUUCCACGUGUAGCGGUGAAAUGCGUAGAUAUGUGGAGGAACACCAGUGGCGAAGGCGACUUUCUGGCCUGUAACUGACACUGAGGCGCGAAAGCGUGGGGAGCAAACAGGAUUAGAUACCCUGGUAGUCCACGCCGUAAACGAUGAGUGCUAAGUGUUGGGGGGUUUCCGCCCCUCAGUGCUGCAGCUAACGCAUUAAGCACUCCGCCUGGGGAGUACGGUCGCAAGACUG
This 373-nucleotide ribosomal RNA is filed under the name uncultured organism. RNAcentral's name for it is "partial 16S ribosomal RNA". It matches the Rfam family "Bacterial small subunit ribosomal RNA", at positions 527 to 896 of the family's 1533-position model. The record is from RNAcentral.